CACCGGCGCCACUAGUGGGGAUCGUAUUUAUUGGGCCUAAAGCGUCCGUAGCCGACUUGAUAAGUUCCUUGUGAAAUUGUUGCGCUCAACGUAACGAAUGGCAAGGAAAACUGUCUUGUUAGGGAUCGGGAGGGGACUGAGGUACUCCUUGGGAAGCGGUUAAAUGUUUUAAUCCUUGGAGGACCACCUGUGGUGAAGACGUCAGUCUAGAACGAAUCCGACGGUGAUGGACGAAAGCUGGGGGAGCAAACCGG
RNAcentral lists this ribosomal RNA (254 nucleotides) under uncultured Methanobacteriales archaeon. RNAcentral's name for it is "partial 16S ribosomal RNA". It matches the Rfam family "Archaeal small subunit ribosomal RNA", at positions 474 to 727 of the family's 1478-position model. Lineage: Archaea; Methanobacteriati; Methanobacteriota; Methanobacteria; Methanobacteriales. The record is from RNAcentral.